CUUAACACAUGCAAGUCGAGGGGCAGCAUUUUAUUUUGCUUGCAAACUAAAGAUGGCGACCGGCGCACGGGUGAGUAACACGUAUCCAACCUGCCGAUAACUCGGGGAUAGCCUUUCGAAAGAAAGAUUAAUAUCCGAUAGUAUAUUAAAACCGCAUGGUUUUACUAUUAAAGAAUUUCGGUUAUCGAUGGGGAUGCGUUCCAUUAGUUUGUUGGCGGGGUAACGGCCCACCAAGACUACGAUGGAUAGGGGUUCUGAGAGGAAGGUCCCCCACAUUGGAACUGAGACACGGUCCAAACUCCUACGGGAGGCAGCAGUGAGGAAUAUUGGUCAAUGGACGAGAGUCUGAACCAGCCAAGUAGCGUGAAGGAUGACUGCCCUAUGGGUUGUAAACUUCUUUUAUAUGGGAAUAAAGUAUUCCACGUGUGGAAUUUUGUAUGUACCAUAUGAAUAAGGAUCGGCUAACUCCGUGCCAGCAGCCGCGGUAAUACGGAGGAUCCGAGCGUUAUCCGGAUUUAUUGGGUUAAAAGGGGAGCGUAGGUGGAUUGUAAAGUCAGUUGUGAAAGUUUGCGGCUCAACCGUAAAAAUUGCAGUUGAAACUGGCAGUCUUGAGUACAGUAGAGGUGGGCGGAAUUCGUGGUGUAGCGGUGAAAUGCUUAGAUAUCACGAAGAACUCCGAUUGCGAAGGCAGCUCACUAGACUGCAACUGACACUGAUGCUCGAAAGUAUGGGUAUCAAACAGGAUUAGAUACCCUGGUAGUCCACACAGUAAACGAUGAAUACUCGCUGUUUGCGAUAUACAGUAAGCGUCCAAGCGAAAGCAUUAAGUAUUCCACCUGGGGAGUACGCCGGCAACGGUGAAACUCAAAGGAAUUGACGGGGGCCCGCACAAGCGGAGGAACAUGUGGUUUAAUUCGAUGAUACGCGAGGAACCUUACCCGGGCUUAAAUUGCAUUUGAAUAAUCUGGAAACAGGUUAGCCGCAAGGCAAAUGUGAAGGUGCUGCAUGGUUGUCGUCAGCUCGUGCCGUGAGGUGUCGGCUUAAGUGCCAUAACGAGCGCAACCCUUAUCUUUAGUUACUAACAGGUCAUGCUGAGGACUCUAGAGAGACUGCCGUCGUAAGAUGUGAGGAAGGUGGGGAUGACGUCAAAUCAGCACGGCCCUUACGUCCGGGGCUACACACGUGUUACAAUGGGGGGUACAGAAGGCAGCUACCUGGCGACAGGAUGCUAAUCCCAAAAACCUCUCUCAGUUCGGAUCGAAGUCUGCAACCCGACUUCGUGAAGCUGGAUUCGCUAGUAAUCGCGCAUCAUCCAUGGCGCGGUGAAUACGUUCCCGGGCCUUGUACACACCGCCCGUCAAGCCAUGAAAGCCGGGGGUACUUGAAGUACGUAACCGCAAGGAGCGUCCUAGGGUAAAACUGGUAAUUGGGGCUAAGUC
Molecule: ribosomal RNA, 1439 nt
Filed under: uncultured organism
Description: 16S ribosomal RNA
Rfam family: Bacterial small subunit ribosomal RNA
Source: RNAcentral